Molecule: long non-coding RNA, 378 nt
Filed under: Macaca nemestrina (pig-tailed macaque)
Lineage: Eukaryota; Metazoa; Chordata; Mammalia; Primates; Cercopithecidae
Description: lncRNA (ENSMNEG00000046174.1)
Source: RNAcentral
GCAAGAGGAUGCGAGGUUGGAGGAGGAGCUUUAAAUGGAUUUGGACUCCUCAGGAGAAUUUGCUAAUGGUCUGAACAAGUGUGUAGAGCACUGCAAAAGAUUUGGAUACUAUUGCCCGUUUUGAUCUAUUCUGCCGAUCUCUACCAAGAACUUGAUUAAAGAUCUGAGAUGCUGUCCCUGCCCUACCCAAGGUCAAGAAGUCAAAGUCUGCAGCUCUGCAAAUGUAUUGGAAUUCUGGAUAAAAUGAGCCUGAUGUAUUAUUGACUUUCUUGGUGGAGAAAACCAUUCUCUCCCUUCACAUUGGUGAAUUCUUGUACUCUGCAAUUAAAGCGUGUGCCAGUUCUCGGUAAGCACUCAGCAUUGUGGAAUGAAUUGUGU